This 379-nucleotide ribosomal RNA is filed under the name uncultured bacterium. Its description in RNAcentral is "bacterial SSU rRNA". It matches the Rfam family "Bacterial small subunit ribosomal RNA", at positions 521 to 896 of the family's 1533-position model. The record is from RNAcentral.
UAAUACGUAGGGGGCGAGCGUUGUCCGGAUUUAUUGGGCGUAAAGAGCUCGUAGGCGGCUCAGCAAGUCGGUCGUGAAAGCCCGAGGCUCAACCUCGGGAUGCCGAUCGAAACUGCUGGGCUAGGGUCCGGUAGAGGAGAGUGGAAUUCCCGGUGUAGCGGUGAAAUGCGCAGAUAUCGGGAGGAACACCAGUAGCGAAGGCGGCUCUCUGGGCCGGUACCGACGCUGAGGAGCGAAAGCUAGGGGAGCAAACAGGAUUAGAUACCCUGGUAGUCCUAGCCGUAAACGUUGGGCACUAGGUGUGGCGGACUCAUUGACGUCUGCCGUGCCGUAGCUAACGCAUUAAGUGCCCCGCCUGGGGAGUACGGUCGCAAGGCUA